GUACACUCCUACGGGAGGCAGCAGUGGGGAAUAUUGCACAAUGGGCGCAAGCCUGAUGCAGCCAUGCCGCGUGUAUGAAGAAGGCCUUCGGGUUGUAAAGUACUUUCAGCGGGGAGGCAGGCGAUAAGGUUAAUAACCUUGUCGAUUGACGUUACCCGCAGAAGAAGCACCGGCUAACUCCGUGCCAGCAGCCGCGGUAAUACGGAGGGUGCAAGCGUUAAUCGGAAUUACUGGGCGUAAAGCGCACGCAGGCGGGCUGUCAAGUCGGAUGUGAAAUCCCCGGGCUCAACCUGGGAACUGCAUUCGAAACUGGCAGGCUAGAGUCUUGUAGAGGGGGGUAGAAUUCCAGGUGUAGCGGUGAAAUGCGUAGAGAUCUGGAGGAAUACCGGUGGCGAAGGCGGCCCCCUGGACAAAGACUGACGCUCAGGUGCGAAAGCGUGGGGAGCAAACAGGAUUAGAAACCCGUGUAGUCCC
Molecule: ribosomal RNA, 474 nt
Filed under: uncultured organism
Description: partial 16S ribosomal RNA
Rfam family: Bacterial small subunit ribosomal RNA
Source: RNAcentral